This is a long non-coding RNA of Thalassophryne amazonica, 658 nucleotides long. RefSeq lists it as uncharacterized. The record is from RefSeq and is a predicted model, not a curated record. NCBI's taxonomy places the organism in Eukaryota, Metazoa, Chordata, Actinopteri, Batrachoidiformes, Batrachoididae. The transcript has 2 exons.
UCAUCUCACUGGAUCAGUCUUUCCCCAUCCAAACAUGCAUCCAAGCCAAAAUCGACCAGUUGCCCUUUUAUCCAAACCUGAACAUUCAUAAAUUAUUUUCUAAAACAGAGACCUGAGCUUAAGAUGCAGUCAAAAUAGCUUGAAGCUAAAUGCACCCAAUUUAAAAUGCACUCCACCAGAACUGAAAUGAGAAGAUGGGGAACACACACACUAUAUUAUAUUAAGAAUCACUAAUAUUAAUUCUGACUCUGUUAGUGAACUGACUUUCAUAAAUAUUGUCGAGAAAAUGUGAUCGCAUAUUUUCCUCUUGUGAUAAUGUAAAUAUUGUAUUUCAUUGGUUAUUAACAGGCUACUGUAAUUGUUUUGAGAUUCAUACUUUGUGGUUUGUGUGUUAAAUUUUCUUGGAUGAACUCUACUUCCUGUGCCAAAAACCUAAUCCAGAAUUUUAACAACAAAACUGCCACCUGUAGCAGCUACACCACCUCUCCAUAGAUGACUUUACAUAACAGGACAAGGUUCAGUUCAUGGGGUUAACCCCUUAAAUGCAAGAAAAAUGUGUUUCCUCAAACUUUGUUCAUCAGCUUAAACAACAACAGAGAAAUGUGUUAUCCUCAUGAAUGAGUUGUAAUGAGAGAAUAAAAUGUUGUUCUUAAUGGCA